CAUAUGCCGAGAGGUGAAAUGAGAAAUCGCCUGAGGAUGAGCUCGCGUCUGAUUAGCUAGUUGGUGGGGUAAGAGCCUACCAAGGCAUCGAUCAGUAGCUGGUCUGAGAGGAUGAUCAGCCACACUGGGACUGAGACACGGCCCAGACUCCUACGGGAGGCAGCAGUGGGGAAUUUUCCGCAAUGGGCGAAAGCCUGACGGAGCAACGCCGCGUGAGGGAUGAAGGCCUCUGGGCUGUAAACCUCUUUUAUCAAGGAAGAAGAUCUGACGGUACUUGAUGAAUAAGCCACGGCUAAUUCCGUGCCAGCAGCCGCGGUAAUACGGGAGUGGCAAGCGUUAUCCGGAAUUAUUGGGCGUAAAGCGUCCGCAGGCGGCCUUUUAAGUCUGUUGUCAAAGCGUGGAGCUUAACUCCAUUUCGGCAAUGGAAACUGGGAGGCUUGAGUGUGGUAGGGGCAGAGGGAAUUCCCGGUGUAGCGGUGAAAUGCGUAGAUAUCGGGAAGAACACCAGUGGCGAAGGCGCUCUGCUGGGCCAUAACUGACGCUCAUGGACGAAAGCCAGGGGAGCGAAAGGGAUUAGAUACCCCUGUAGUCCUGGCCGUAAACGAUGAACACUAGGUGUCGGGGGAAUCGACCCCCUCGGUGUCGUAGCCAACGCGUUAAGUGUUCCGCCUGGGGAGUACGCACGCAAGUGUGAAACUCAAAGGAAUUGACGGGGGCCCGCACAAGCGGUGGAGUAUGUGGUUUAAUUCGAUGCAACGCGAAGAACCUUACCAGGGUUUGACAUCCUGCGAACCCCUUGGAAACGAGGGGGUGCCUUCGGGAGCGCAGUGACAGGUGGUGCAUGGCUGUCGUCAGCUCGUGUCGUGAGAUGUUGGGUUAAGUCCCGCAACGAGCGCAACCCACGUCUUUAGUUGCCAGCAUUCAGUUGGGCACUCUAGAGAGACCGCCGGUGAUAAACCGGAGGAAGGUGUGGAUGACGUCAAGUCAUCAUGCCCCUUACAUCCUGGGCUACACACGUACUACAAUGCUACGGACAAAGGGCAGCAAACUCGCGAGAGCUAGCAAAUCCCAUAAACCGUGGCUCAGUUCAGAUCGUAGGCUGCAACUCGCCUACGUGAAGGAGGAAUCGCUAGUAAUCGCAGGUCAGCAUACUGCGGUGAAUACGUUCCCGGGCCUUGUACACACCGCCCGUCACACCAUGGAAGUUGGCCACGCCCGAAGCCGUUACUCCAACCCUUGUGGAGGAGGACGUCGAAGGUGGGGCUGAUGACUGGGGUGAAGUCGUAACAAGGUAGCCGUACCGGAAGGUGCGGCUGGAUCACCUCCUAACAGGGAGACAAACCUAAUCAUGAUGUCUGAGUUUUUUAGUCUUAGGCCAUGAUUCUGUCACCUUAGGUCGAUCGGUACCUCAAGGAACAAGCCAGGGAGACUGAGCAAUCAGAGGAGCCUGGCGAGUUUUUUCAGUUCUUAAACGUUGUCUAGGUCACCCCAUGGCUCCUGGGCCAUUAGCUCAGGUGGUUAGAGCGCACCCCUGAUAAGGGUGAGGUCCCUGGUUCAAGUCCAGGAUGGCCCAUGCACAGCCUGGUGAGCAGGCAGGACUUGAAAGCUGGGGGUUUAGCUCAGUUGGUAGAGCGCCUGCUUUGCAAGCAGGAUGUCAGCGGUUCGAGUCCGCUAACCUCCAUCGCAACGCAAGAGCCCACAAGCGCAAGCGCCAGAAGCGCAAGCGGAGGAGGUAGGGAGUGACCGAGACGGGGAGCAAGACGGGAACGAGAGGAGCUGAGGACGAUUCCAGCCUUCAGGAUUCAAGCGAUCAACUGCCAAAGAAGCAGGAAAGCGUUUGAGUGUUGAAUGCUGGACUCACACCCACCGAGAGCUGUUGAAACGGUGAUGGGUNGGGUGAUUGGUUCAGCGUCGAACCUUGACAACUGCAUAGGUGAGUCUGGAAAGAAAGCAUCUCAUGGAUGACCAGUGAAAACUGGAAAUUCUAUGACGUAAAGAGCCGAGGCUUUCCAGCGUUCUUCCAAAGCUUUGGCCAAUCCAGCCAAAGGGAGGGAGUUUGAUUUUGCGAUUCAAACCGUGAUGAUGCUGUGAUGAGCAGUGUGAUCAGCAGGUGAAUGCAAAAGAAGCGGCCGCAACAGCCG
Molecule: ribosomal RNA, 2141 nt
Filed under: uncultured Synechococcus sp.
Lineage: Bacteria; Bacillati; Cyanobacteriota; Cyanophyceae; Synechococcales; Synechococcaceae
Description: bacterial SSU rRNA
Rfam family: Bacterial small subunit ribosomal RNA (bases 1-1329)
Source: RNAcentral